AUGGAAACUUCUGCUAAAAGGUUAACCAGAAUAUGGAGCUGCGCUGCGCUAUGGAGCAGGGUCAGUGAGCUGAAAGAGAAGGGCAACAAGGCCCUGAGUGCAGGCAACAUUGAUUCUGCCUUACAGUGCUACUCUGAAGCCAUUAAGCUGGAUCCUCACAACCACUUGCUCUACAGCAAUCGUUCUGCCGUCUAUACCAAGAAAGGAGACUACUAGAAGGCUUAGGAGGACCGCUGCAAGACCAUCAACCUAAAGCCUGACUGGGGCAAGGGCUAUUCACGAAAAGCAGCACCUCUUGAGUUCCUAACCUGGUUUGAAGAAGCCAAGCGAACGUAAGAGGAGGGCUUAAAGCACGAGGCAAAUAACCCUCAGCUGAAAGGGCACAAAACUACAAGAUCCCCGGAUCAUGACCACUCUCAGUAUCCUCCUUGGGGUCGAUCUGGGCAGUAUGGAUGAGGAGGAAGAGGUUGCGAGGCCUCCACCGCCACCCCCUCCCAAAAAGGAGACCAAGCCAGAGCCAAUGGAAGAAGAUCUUCCAGAGAAUAAGAAGUAGGCACUGAAAGAAAAAGAGCUGGGGAAUGAUGCCUACAAGAAGAAAGACUUUGACACAGCCUUGAAGCAUUAUGACAAAGCCAAGGAGCUGGACCCCACCAACAUGGCUUACAUUACCAGUCAAGCAGCCGUAUACUUUGAAAAGGGUGACUACGAGUGGGGAGCUUUGUGAGAGGGCCAUUGAAGUGGGGAGAGAAAGCCAAGAAGACUGUCGACAGAUUGCCAAAGCUUAUGCUCGAAUUGGCAACUCCUACUUCAAAGAAGAAAAGUGCAAGGAUGCCAUUCAUUUCUAUAACAAGUCUCUGGCAGAGCACCGAACCCCAGAUGUGCUCAAGAAAUGUCAGCAGGCAGAGAAAAUCCUGAAGGAGCAAGAGCGGCUGGCCUACAUAAACCCCGACCUGGCUUUGGAGGAGAAGAACAAAGGCAACGAGUGUUUCCAGAAAGGGAACUAUCCCCAGGCCAUGAAGCAUUAUACAGAAGCCAUCAAAUGGAACCCAAAAGAUGCCAAAUUAUACAGUAAUCGAGCUGCCUGCUAUACCAAACUUCUGGAGUUCCAGCUGGCACUCAAGGACUGUGAGGAAUGUAUCCAGAUGGAGCCGACCUUCAUCAAGGGUUAUACCCAGAAAGCCACUGCCCUGGAAGCAAUGAAGGACUACACCAAAGCCAUGGAUGUGUACCAGAAGGCGCUCCACCUGGACUCCAGCUGUAAGGAGGCGGCAGACGGCUGCCAGCGCUGUAUGAUGGCGCAGUACAACCGGCAUGAUAGCCCCGAAGAUGUGAAGCGACGAGCCAUGGCCGACCCCGAGGUGCAGCAGAUCAUGAGUGACCCAGCCAUGCGCCUUAUCCUGGAACAGAUGCAGAAGGACCCCCAGGCACUCAGCAAACACUUAAAGAAUCCUGUAAUAGCACAGAAGAUCCAGAAGCUGAUGGAUGUGGGUCUGAUUGCAAUUCGGUGAUAACUUGUUCAUCCCCACUUCCCUUCGCCCUCAUGUGGAAAGAGGAGCUGGGACCGCUGCGAGCAGCACGGAGCGGAAGGGAGAGCAGGGGGAAAGAAGGCCUCAUCUCUAAAUUUAUACAUAACCCCGGGAAGACACAGAGACUUGUACUGGCACUGUUCGUGCCGCCGCUGCCUCUGCGCCUUCCCAGCACACGCAUGGUCUCUUCACCGCUGCCCUCGAGUUCCAUGUCUCCUUCCCCUGCCCCUAGUCACUGUCUGGGCUGCUCUCCCAUAGUUGGUUAUUUUUUAUUUGGGGCAGCGGGCAUGUACGGGGAGGGAAGGGGCUUCUUUCCAGCCUCAGGUCCCAGCUAUCUCAUGUUGUUUAUUCCACGUCCCCUUCUCCAAUAAAACAAACCAGUUGGGCGUG
Molecule: RNA transcript, 1916 nt
Organism: Cebus imitator (Panamanian white-faced capuchin)
Lineage: Eukaryota; Metazoa; Chordata; Mammalia; Primates; Cebidae
Gene name: stress-induced-phosphoprotein 1-like
Exons: 2
Source: RefSeq, a predicted model, not a curated record